This 151-nucleotide non-coding RNA is filed under the name Scrippsiella trochoidea. Lineage: Eukaryota; Dinophyceae; Peridiniales; Peridiniaceae. The record is from RNAcentral.
GAUGACGCCCGGUCCGCGUCCUCUUCGGUCAUUGGGCAGGUUUGGGAGUUGUCCCAGGACCCUCGUGGCUGCCGUCGAGUCCAGGAGGCGCUGGAAUUGGCCGCCACAGAGCAGGAUCGCCGCAUUUUGGCGACGGAACUCCACAGGCACG